GCAGAUGAUGACUUAAACUUUCUUCACUUUGACCUGAGUGUAUUAGUGAUGAUAACCAUGUCUCUGAGC
Nerophis ophidion (straightnose pipefish) is the source of this 69-nucleotide small nucleolar RNA. RefSeq annotates it as small nucleolar RNA SNORD37. The transcript has a single exon. The record is from RefSeq and is a predicted model, not a curated record. Lineage: Eukaryota; Metazoa; Chordata; Actinopteri; Syngnathiformes; Syngnathidae.